Molecule: ribosomal RNA, 433 nt
Filed under: uncultured bacterium
Lineage: Bacteria
Description: partial 16S ribosomal RNA
Rfam family: Bacterial small subunit ribosomal RNA
Source: RNAcentral
AACGAACGCUGGCGGCAUGCCUAACACAUGCAAGUCGAACGAGACCUUCGGGUCUAGUGGCGUACGGGUGCGUAACGCGUGGGAACCUGCCCUUAGGUUCGGAAUAACUCCCCGAAAGGGGUGCUAAUACCGGAUAAUGUCUUCGGACCAAAGAUUUAUCGCCUUUGGAUGGGCCCGCGUUGGAUUAGCUAGUUGGUAGGGUAAAAGCCUACCAAGGCGACGAUCCAUAGCUGGUCUGAGAGGAUGAUCAGCCACACUGGGACUGAGACACGGCCCAGACUCCUACGGGAGGCAGCGGUGGGGAAUAUUGGACAAUGGGCGAAAGCCUGAUCCAGCAAUGCCGCGUGAGUGAUGAAGGCCUUAGGGUUGUAAAGCUCUUUUACCCGGGAUGAUAAUGACAGUACCGGGAGAAUAAGCGCCGGCUAACUCCGUG